UUCUUAAUUUUAUUUCUAAUCGAUUUUGUUUCUAAUUUAUGUUCUCAUGAAGGAACUUCUCAUUAAGCAUUCAGGUUUCAGCUCCAUUCUUUUCGUGAUAUUAAGCCAGCCAUCAGUUCUAAAAUUGAUCACGAUUUAGAGUUUCUAAAGGAGGUCAGGAAUUCAAUCUGAGUUAUGUCACGAGAAUCAUGGUGUUUGAUAAUUUCCCUCAAUGAGAGUUUUGUUGAGGAAUUCACUGACGUUCCAUAAAUCACACACAGUGUUUGCUAGCUUCGGUUCCUUGACCAUCUAAAAAAGCUUCAAAGAAGAACGUGGAAUAUUUGGGUUGUUUUCGGGAUCCACUAGAUAUAAUUACUUAAUGGUUAUAACAAAAUACUGAAACAUCGCGUUAUCCUAAUCAUCAGGUUGUAUGCUUUCAUGCAUUGGAGAAACAAAAAGAGGUCAUGUUCUCUCUAGAACUGUAAGUUUUUUUUUGGGUCUCCAAGCCGGUGCUUAAUGUUUCAGCUCAAAUUUCAUGGUUUCCGGAUUACUCAAUCGGGUUCCGAUGACGAAUCGUCAAAAAACCAAGCCGAGGGGUGACCGGGUCGUGUACACUUGCCGAGUUGAUGUCGAAUCUGCAAAGUGGUAAGUCUCUUUUAGACCUAUUUAUUCAUUUUGUAUGGUUCUUGGAAUUCGGUCAUGGGUUCAUGCUUUUUAGUUAUGAAUCCUCAUUUCAUGUUUAUGAUAAUAUUGAAACUGUAGGGUGAAAUUGGUCAUGGACCAGUUUACUUAUGGAAACACAAUUCCUCAAAGUUAUAUUGUAUAUGGAUUGGGUCAAAGAAGUUCAUUUGUAUUUUUUAAUGUGUUUUUCUCACUUUGUUUUUUUUUUUCAGUGUUGCUUCAUGCUGAGUUAUGAGGCAUUCGUUUUGCGAGUGUUGAAUUUUGCUAUAGAUUAGCGGUUACAUGUUUCAUACAGAAAAUGGUUCACGUUUGCUAAGUAAUUAACUGCCAACAGGUUUUAUACCAAUGUUAGGAAGGUAGGUACUCUUCACAUGAAUGAGUUAUAAAAUAACUUAUUUUUUAACGGUUUGGUUUAGGCCAUAAAAGGUGGGUACUUUUCAAAUGAUCGUCCAUUUUCUGUUUCGGGAGUGAAAGCGUUAGUUGAAGCUUGGAACAUGAAGGGAGUCUUUGCUGAGGAAACAAAUUAAGAAAGAAGCUGUGUUAUAUCCCACCCUUAUGCUUUCUCUUAUCGCAAUUGGAGAUGGCACUUUCUUUUUGGGACUUAUUGGUUCCAGUUCUUAAUGGUUUUUACUGAUCAUAUAAAAAUCUAAUAUUGAUAAUAAUGUGUGGUACUAAAUGAUCUUUUUUGUGGUUAUACAAAUUUUUUGUUCUUUAUCUUUUCUUACAAUAGUUUGGCCUAACUUUUUCUUUAUUUCCUUUUCCUUUUUGGGAAUUAGGUAGGUUACCACAUCAUAAUGUUGUGUACUGUAAUAACUUGGUACUUGAAAGUAUGUGUCUUUAAUCACUAAUAUGGUGCAGACAUGCAAUUUGUGAUUACCAUGUUAUCUACUUAUCUCUAAGCAUCAUGUGUGCCUUUGUACCUGGUGAAAAUCUUGGCUUUCAACCGCUACAUGUGUAGUAUUAUGUUUAUUUGAUGCUAUUUUGCUUCUCUUAUGGAAAUCUAACUAACACUUUUCAUUAUUCCCUUUGUUAUUCCAGAGCGCAGAUACAUGUUGGUUCAAGAAAUUUAAACUUGCUCAGCAGCAGAAGUCACACUGUUACUCCAUCAAGCAAUUAUACAUUAAAAUUUGCCUACCAUUGCAAAAUACAUUGAAAUUUAGGCUGCUCAAAGCAAGGCAUUCUCAUUAAUUUUGUCUGCACUAAAUACAUAAUAGUAAGUGUUCCCAAACAAUCAAUGGAAAUAAUCUUAUGUUUUUUGUAGAUUAUUUUUUUUAUAUAUUAAAGAAUGGUGCUUUUGUUUGUAAUA
Molecule: long non-coding RNA, 1966 nt
Organism: Helianthus annuus (common sunflower)
Lineage: Eukaryota; Viridiplantae; Streptophyta; Magnoliopsida; Asterales; Asteraceae
Exons: 5
Source: RefSeq, a predicted model, not a curated record